CCUACGGGAGGCAGCAGUGAGGAAUAUUGGUCAAUGGGCGAGAGCCUGAACCAGCCAAGUCGCGUGAGGGAGUACUGCCCUAUGGGUUGUAAACCUCUUUUGUCGGGGAGCAAAAGCCGGACGUUUCCGGCUGUGAGAGUACCCGAAGAAAAAGCAUCGGCUACCUCCGUGCCACCAGCCCCGGUAAUACGGAGGAUGCGAGCUUUAUCUGGUUUUAUUGGGUGUAAAGGGGGCGCAGGCGGAUGUUUACGUCAGCGUUAAACUCGUGGGGCUCAACCCCAUCCAGCCGUUGAAACUGGGGAUCUAGAGGGUGCGAGAGGUAUGCGGAAUGCGUGGUGUAGCGGUGAAAUGCAUAGAUAUCACGCAGAACCCCGAUUGCGAAGGCAGCAUACCGGUGCACAACUGACGCUCAGGCACGAAAGCGUGGGUAUCGAACAGGAUUAGAUACCCCAGUAGUC
RNAcentral lists this ribosomal RNA (458 nucleotides) under uncultured bacterium. RNAcentral describes it as "partial 16S ribosomal RNA". It matches the Rfam family "Bacterial small subunit ribosomal RNA", at positions 338 to 795 of the family's 1533-position model. The record is from RNAcentral.